UGGGGGAAUAUUGGGCAAUGGAGGAAACUCUGACCCAGCAACGCCGCGUGGAGGAAGAAGGUUUUCGGAUCGUAAACUCCUGUCCUUGGAGACGAGUAGAAGACGGUAUCCAAGGAGGAAGCCCCGGCUAACUACGUGCCAGCAGCCGCGGUAAUACGUAGGGGGCGAGCGUUGUCCGGAAUGAUUGGGCGUAAAGGGCGCGUAGGCGGCCUGAUAAGUCUGGAGUGAAAGUCCUGCUUUCAAGGUGGGAAUUGCUUUGGAUACUGUUGGGCUGGAGUGCAGGAGAGGAAAGCGGAAUUACCGGUGUAGCGGUGAAAUGCGUAGAGAUCGGUAGGAACACCAGUGGCGAAGGCGGCUUUCUGGACUGUAACUGACGCUGAGGCGCGAAAGCGUGGGGAGCAAACAGGAUUAGAUACCCUGGUAGU
RNAcentral lists this ribosomal RNA (425 nucleotides) under uncultured bacterium. RNAcentral describes it as "bacterial SSU rRNA". It matches the Rfam family "Bacterial small subunit ribosomal RNA", at positions 354 to 794 of the family's 1533-position model. The record is from RNAcentral.